Molecule: ribosomal RNA, 371 nt
Filed under: uncultured eukaryote
Lineage: Eukaryota
Description: partial 18S ribosomal RNA
Rfam family: Eukaryotic small subunit ribosomal RNA
Source: RNAcentral
CAAUAGCGUAUAUUAUUGAUGUUGCAGUUGAAACGUUCGUAGCCGAACUUUAUCUGCUCAAACACCUCGUCAUGUAAAUGUCGUGAUGUUCUUGGCAGAAAUAGUGUAAAAGUUAUUAUGUGAUGUUUCAUUGUGUAAUAACUUUUUGCACUUUACUUUGAGUGAAUCGGCGUGUUCCACGCAGGCAAGUGCCUUAAACGAUUUACCAUAGUAUAAUCAGAAUCUGAAAAUAUUUUCUUGUUUGUUCAAAAAUAUUUUCAAUACUGAAAGGAACGGUUGAGGCCAUUCGUACUCACGCGCUAGAGGUGAAAUUCUUUGAUUGCGUGAAGACGAACCAUUGCGAAAGCAUCUGGCAAGGACGUUUCCUUUGA